UGAUAUUUUCAUGGCAACGGAAAUCUUGCA
RNAcentral lists this non-coding RNA (30 nucleotides) under Rattus norvegicus (Norway rat). The record is from RNAcentral. Lineage: Eukaryota; Metazoa; Chordata; Mammalia; Rodentia; Muridae.